GCUGAAUGGCGUAAUAGAAGUUUGGCCAAAACGCGAAAUCUGUGAGCGGAGGAGAUACCAGUGGGCACUCCAAGGCAACUUCACACUCCUUUUAAUCUUUCAUCCUAUCUUUGUAUUGUUGAACCCUCGAUUCUCUGCAACAUUCUUCGAUUCAAUUGCUCUUGUGAAAUUCCUCCUUUAUUAGCGGCUAAACCCUAAAUCAGAACUUUGGUGUGGUGUGUUGACUUAAUUGAGUGUAGAAAUAGAAUAAUGGUGAAAGCAUAUACACAGGAACACGUCUACAAGCACCCUUGGGAACGUGUAACUUGUGCAUCUUGGCGCAAGUUUGCUGACCAAGAGAACAAACGCAUAUUAUCCCAUAUUCUUGAUGUUGACACAUUGAACCACAGCCUUGACCCUUCAUCAGGGAAGCUUUACACGACCCGUGCUAUCACGAUCCAUUGUCCUGGGCCGUGGUUUGUCCGCAAGAUUGUUGGUCAGGAUAUUUGCCACUGUGUGGAAUCCACUGUGGUGGAUGCACGGUCGCGCUCCAUGCAACUAACCUCCCGGAAUAUCAGCCUCCAGAAGUUCAUUGAAGUGGAAGAGAAGAUCCGAUAUGAUCCUCACCCGGAUAACCCGACUGGGUGGACAAUUUGCCAGCAGGAGACUCGCAUCCGGAUUAAGCCGCUGUCGGCUUUGGCAUCCAUGGCUGAAAAGGUGGAGCAGCGAUGUGCUGAAAAGUUCCUUCAGAAUAGUGUCAAGGGUAGAGAGGUUAUGGAGAGGAUUUGUAAAUAUCUUGAAGCAGAAUCAAGCAGCCUUGCCUUGUGAUUCUAUCUUUCUCAUCUCAGUUUUGGGUUUAUUUAGUUUAAAUUGUUACAUUUGUAAGAUAACUGAGAAAACAUUGCCACAUCAAGCAAGACAUGGAAGAUGAUGAAGCUUGUGUCUCUACCCUUGAUGGCGCACUUAAUCAGAAGCUUUAGUUUUUAUAUGGAUAUCUUGAGGUAGAAGUGAUUAUCCAUAGAUUUUCAGAAGUUUGUUUUUGACGCAAUAUUCGGCAUUGACAAAGUGAAAAUGAAGUUGUAGUUAAUUAUUCAAUCAAAUCUGCUGAUGAAGGGUUAACUUUGCACGGUAGCAUUUCUGAUGAGUUCCAAAUAUGAAGUCCACGUGCACGAGUGGGGAGAUUUUACGUGUAUCAUUUACAUUGUUGGAUUUGGUGUUUUCAAUGGUGAAAUAACAUUUUGUUUGGUAGACUUA
This is an RNA transcript of Glycine soja, 1233 nucleotides long. It is a transcript of the gene named PRELI domain containing protein 3B, with no coding region annotated. The record is from RefSeq and is a predicted model, not a curated record. Lineage: Eukaryota; Viridiplantae; Streptophyta; Magnoliopsida; Fabales; Fabaceae. The transcript is spliced from 4 exons.